GACGAACGCUGGCGGCGUGCUUAACACAUGCAAGUCGAACGGCAAGGCCCUGCUUUUGUUGGGUGCUCGAGUGGCGAACGGGUGAGUAACACGUGAGUAACCUGCCCUUGACUUUGUGAUAACUUCAGGAACCUGGGGCUAAUACCGGCUAGGAGCUCCUGAUGCCUGGUGGGGGUUGGAAAGUUUCGGCGGUGGGGGAUGGACUCGCGGCUUAUCAGCUGGUUGGUGGGGUAGCGGCUUACCGAGGCUUUGACGGGUAGCCGGCGUGAGCGGGGGACCGCGCACAUUGGUACUGAGGUAGGGCCCAGACUGCAAUGUGAGACAGUGGUGGGAAGUAUUGUACAAUGGGCGGAAGUCUGAUGCAGCGACGCCGCGGUCGUGAUGACGUCCUGCGGGUUGUAAACCGCAUUCGCCUGUUACGAAGCUUGAGUGACGGUAAUGGGUGAAGAAGCACCGGCUAACUACGUG
This 468-nucleotide ribosomal RNA is filed under the name uncultured bacterium. Its description in RNAcentral is "partial 16S ribosomal RNA". It matches the Rfam family "Bacterial small subunit ribosomal RNA", at positions 28 to 507 of the family's 1533-position model. The record is from RNAcentral.